GAAACCGUUCAGGGGUAAACNUGAGAAACCCAAAAGAUCGAAUGGGGAGAUUCAUCGUCAGCUCAUUUUAUAUAUAUGCUAGUUAUGAUAUGGGUUACUACUUGUAGUAUUGCCUGUACAUUCUUGUAUAUUUAAAUGUAAUAUGUUGUCGGCGUGCACUUCUCCCCUAGUAGGACGUCGCGACCCGUUGAGUUGUUGUUGGUCUACGGCCCAAGUGGAAGCUUUUAGUGAAUUUUAUUCAUUGAAAACUCUUGGUGUUACCUGACUGGCGCUCGUCGGUAUUCGUAUGGUAUUGAGCCGCAUAUUAUAUGCGUCCAUAUCUGUCGCAAGCGAGGUUAGUUACUGAUAGUGCGGACCUAGUGCCGUCGUUGGUGCUAACCAGCUGUUGGUUGUACAGAAUUCUAGGACUGGCUCGUUGAAAUACCUGUCAGCGAUGCUACUGCUUUGGGUACUUUCAGGACCCGUCUUGAAACACGGACCAAGGAGUCUAACAUGUACGCGAGUCAUUGGGAUUUUUAUAAAUUAAACCUAAAGGCGUAAUGAAAGUAAAGGUCGUCCUUGUGUCGACUAAGGGAGGAUGAGCUGUUUAUAUUUUUUAUAACAGCUUCGCACUCUCGGGGCGUCUCAUUCUCAUUGCGAGAAGAGGCGCACCUAGAGCGUACACGUUGG
Molecule: ribosomal RNA, 669 nt
Filed under: Digonogastra sp.
Lineage: Eukaryota; Metazoa; Arthropoda; Insecta; Hymenoptera; Braconidae
Description: partial 28S ribosomal RNA
Rfam family: Eukaryotic large subunit ribosomal RNA
Source: RNAcentral